UACGGAGGGUGCAAGCGUUAUCCGGAUUCACUGGGUUUAAAGGGUGCGUAGGUGGGCAGUUAAGUCAGUGGUGAAAUCUCCGGGCUUAACCCGGAAACUGCCAUUGAUACUAUCUGUCUUGAAUAUCGUGGAGGUAAGCGGAAUACGUCAUGUAGCGGUGAAAUGCUUAGAUAUGACAUAGAACACCAAUUGCGAAGGCAGCUUACUACCCGAAUAUUGACACUGAGGCACGAAAGCGUGGGGAUCAAACAGG
Molecule: ribosomal RNA, 253 nt
Filed under: uncultured bacterium
Lineage: Bacteria
Description: partial 16S ribosomal RNA
Rfam family: Bacterial small subunit ribosomal RNA
Source: RNAcentral